GGUUAAGCGACUAAGCGUACACGGUGGAUGCCCUGGCAGUCAGAGGCGAUGAAGGACGUGCUAAUCUGCGAUAAGCGUCGGUAAGGUGAUAUGAACCGUUAUAACCGGCGAUUUCCGAAUGGGGAAACCCAGUGUGAUUCGUCACACUAUCAUUAACUGAAUCCAUAGGUUAAUGAGGCGAACCGGGGGAACUGAAACAUCUAAGUACCCCGAGGAAAAGAAAUCAACCGAGAUUCCCCCAGUAGCGGCGAGCGAACGGGGAGCAGCCCAGAGUCUGAAUCAGCUUGUGUGUUAGUGGAACGGUCUGGAAAGUCCGACGGUACAGGGUGAUAGUCCCGUACACCAAAAUGCACAGGUUGUGAACUCGAAGAGUAGGGCGGGACACGUGGUAUCCUGUCUGAAUAUGGGGGGACCAUCCUCCAAGGCUAAAUACUCCUGACUGACCGAUAGUGAACCAGUACCGUGAGGGAAAGGCGAAAAGAACCCCGGCGAGGGGAGUGAAAAAGAACCUGAAACCGUGUACGUACAAGCAGUGGGAGCCUCUUUAUGGGGUGACUGCGUACCUUUUGUAUAAUGGGUCAGCGACUUAUAUUCUGUAGCAAGGUUAACCGAAUAGGGGAGCCGAAGGGAAACCGAGUCUUAACUGGGCGUUAAGUUGCAGGGUAUAGACCCGAAACCCGGUGAUCUAGCCAUGGGCAGGUUGAAGGUUGGGUAACACUAACUGGAGGACCGAACCGACUAAUGUUGAAAAAUUAGCGGAUGACUUGUGGCUGGGGGUGAAAGGCCAAUCAAACCGGGAGAUAGCUGGUUCUCCCCGAAAGCUAUUUAGGUAGCGCCUCGUGAAUUCAUCUCCGGGGGUAGAGCACUGUUUCGGCAAGGGGGUCAUCCCGACUUACCAACCCGAUGCAAACUGCGAAUACCGGAGAAUGUUAUCACGGGAGACACACGGCGGGUGCUAACGUCCGUCGUGAAGAGGGAAACAACCCAGACCGCCAGCUAAGGUCCCAAAGUCAUGGUUAAGUGGGAAACGAUGUGGGAAGGCCCAGACAGCCAGGAUGUUGGCUUAGAAGCAGCCAUCAUUUAAAGAAAGCGUAAUAGCUCACUGGUCGAGUCGGCCUGCGCGGAAGAUGUAACGGGGCUAAACCAUGCACCGAAGCUGCGGCAGCGACACUAUGUGUUGUUGGGUAGGGGAGCGUUCUGUAAGCCUGCGAAGGUGUGCUGUGAGGCAUGCUGGAGGUAUCAGAAGUGCGAAUGCUGACAUAAGUAACGAUAAAGCGGGUGAAAAGCCCGCUCGCCGGAAGACCAAGGGUUCCUGUCCAACGUUAAUCGGGGCAGGGUGAGUCGACCCCUAAGGCGAGGCCGAAAGGCGUAGUCGAUGGGAAACAGGUUAAUAUUCCUGUACUUGGUGUUACUGCGAAGGGGGGACGGAGAAGGCUAUGUUGGCCGGGCGACGGUUGUCCCGGUUUAAGCGUGUAGGCUGGUUUUCCAGGCAAAUCCGGAAAAUCAAGGCUGAGGCGUGAUGACGAGGCACUACGGUGCUGAAGUAACAAAUGCCCUGCUUCCAGGAAAAGCCUCUAAGCAUCAGGUAACAUCAAAUCGUACCCCAAACCGACACAGGUGGUCAGGUAGAGAAUACCAAGGCGCUUGAGAGAACUCGGGUGAAGGAACUAGGCAAAAUGGUGCCGUAACUUCGGGAGAAGGCACGCUGAUAUGUAGGUGA
RNAcentral lists this ribosomal RNA (1720 nucleotides) under Streptococcus thermophilus. Its description in RNAcentral is "partial 23S ribosomal RNA". It matches the Rfam family "Bacterial large subunit ribosomal RNA", at positions 1 to 1765 of the family's 2925-position model. The record is from RNAcentral. Lineage: Bacteria; Bacillati; Bacillota; Bacilli; Lactobacillales; Streptococcaceae.